RNAcentral lists this ribosomal RNA (455 nucleotides) under uncultured bacterium. RNAcentral describes it as "bacterial SSU rRNA". It matches the Rfam family "Bacterial small subunit ribosomal RNA", at positions 340 to 786 of the family's 1533-position model. The record is from RNAcentral.
UACGGGAGGCAGCAGUGGGGAAUAUUGCACAAUGGGCGCAAGCCUGAUGCAGCCAUGCCGCGUGUAUGAAGAAGGCCUUCGGGUUGUAAAGUACUUUCAGUCGUGAGGAAGGUGUUAAGGUUAAUAACCUUAGCAAUUGACGUUAGCGACAGAAGAAGCACCGGCUAACUCCGUGCCAGCAGCCGCGGUAAUACGGAGGGUGCGAGCGUUAAUCGGAAUUACUGGGCGUAAAGGGCACGCAGGCGGUUAAUUAAGUUGGAUGUGAAAUCCCCGGGCUUAACCUGGGAAUGGCAUUCAAGACUGGUUAGCUAGAGUCUUGUAGAGGGGGUAGAAUUCCAUGUGUAGCGGUGAAAUGCGUAGAGAUGUGGAGGAAUACCGGUGGCGAAGGCGGCCCCUGGACAAAGGCUGACGCUCAUGUGCGAAAGCGUGGGGAGCGAAACAGGGAUUUAGAUACC